GAAUUAACCGAUGUGAAUACCUGAAAUU
This 28-nucleotide non-coding RNA is filed under the name Cricetulus griseus (Chinese hamster). Lineage: Eukaryota; Metazoa; Chordata; Mammalia; Rodentia; Cricetidae. The record is from RNAcentral.